This 336-nucleotide unclassified non-coding RNA is filed under the name soil metagenome. RNAcentral's name for it is "partial contains 5.8S ribosomal RNA, internal transcribed spacer 2, and large subunit ribosomal RNA". The stretch from base 1 to 120 matches the Rfam family "5.8S ribosomal RNA", at positions 35 to 154 of the family's 154-position model. The record is from RNAcentral.
GAUGAAGUACGUAGCGAAAUGCGAUAAGUAAUGUGAAUUGCAGAAUUCAGUGAAUCAUCGAAUCUUUGAACGCACAUUGCGCCCGCCAGUAUUCUGGCGGGCAUGCCUGUUCGAGCGUCAUUUCAACCAUCAAGCCCCAGGCUUGUGUUGGGGACCUGCGGCUGCCGCAGGCCCUGAAAACCAGUGGCGGGCUCGCUGUCACACCGGGCGUAGUAGAUUUUAUCUCGCUCAGGGCGUGCUGCGGGUUCCGGCCGUUAAAAAGCCUUUUUUACCCAAGGUUGACCUCGGAUCAGGUAGGAAUACCCGCUGAACUUAAGCAUAUCAAUAAGCGGAGGA